Molecule: ribosomal RNA, 381 nt
Filed under: Triticum aestivum (bread wheat)
Lineage: Eukaryota; Viridiplantae; Streptophyta; Magnoliopsida; Poales; Poaceae
Description: partial small subunit ribosomal RNA
Source: RNAcentral
AUGGACAAGGGCAAGUUCGUUAUAGAGCAAUGUUUGGAUACCUCGAUGGACCAUUUUCGUAUGGCGGCUUCCCAACCCAACAAACCAACAAUGAAGGAGGAUGGCGAAGAUGAGAUGGCGGGAUGGUGGGAGAAGGCUGUGAAGAAGCUUAGAGAGGAGGAUGCAGCCAAGCUAAAGAAGAAGGAAGAGGAGCUUGAGAAGAAGAGGAAGGAAAUAGAGAGAGCGUCAAAUGCGAUGCGCGCUAGGGAGCAAGCGUUGGUGAGGAAAUGUGAGGAGGCACAGAAGAAGCGUCAAAAGGAUUUUGAAGAAAGAACCAUGAAGCUUUGGGCAAUUGCAGCUGAAAAAAAGGGAGAAUCAGAUAUUCAUGGAGAGGGUGGUUAA